RNAcentral lists this ribosomal RNA (465 nucleotides) under uncultured bacterium. Its description in RNAcentral is "partial 16S ribosomal RNA". It matches the Rfam family "Bacterial small subunit ribosomal RNA", at positions 339 to 795 of the family's 1533-position model. The record is from RNAcentral.
CUACGGGCGGCUGCAGUGAGGAAUCUUGCGCAAUGGGGGAAACCCUGACGCAGCAACGCCGUGUGAGUGAUGAAGGUCUUCGGGUCGUAAAGCUCUGUUUGAAGGGACGAAACGUAUUUGAUUAAUACCCAAAUAACUUGACGGUACCUUCAGAGGAAGCACCGGCUAACUCCGUGCCAGCAGCCGCGGUAAUACGGAGGGUGCAGAGCGUUGUUCGGAAUCACUGGGCGUAAAGGGCGUGUAGGUGGCUAAGUAAGUCAGGUGUGAAAUCCUUCCGCUUAACGGGAGAAGUGCACUUGAAACUGCUUAGCUAGAGUACGGGAGAGGAAGGUGGAAUUCCUGGUGUAGAGGUGAAAUUCAUAGAUAUCGGGAAGAACACCGGUGGCGAAGGCGGCCUUCUGGCCCGAUACUGACGCUGAGACGCGAAAGCGUGGGGAGCAAACAGGAUUAGAUACCCCAGUAGUC